GAGUUUGAUCCUGGCUCAGGAUGAACGCUAGCGGCAGGCUUCAUACAUGCAAGUCGAGGGGCAGCAUAAAUUACUUGUAAUUUGAUGGCGACCGGCGAACGGGUGCGUAACGCGUAUGCAACUUACCUUUUACUAGAGAAUAGCCAAGAGAAAUUUUGAUUAAUGCUCUAUGUUCUUAUUUACUCGCAUGAGUAAAUAAGCAAAGCUCCGGCGGUAAAAGAUGGGCAUGCGUCCUAUUAGCUUGUAGGUGAGGUAAUGGCUCACCUAAGCUCCGAUAGGUAGGGGUCCUGAGAGGGAGAUCCCCCACACUGGUACUGAGACACGGACCAGACUUCUACGGAAGGCAGCAGUAAGGAAUAUUGGACAAUGGAGGCAACUCUGAUCCAGCCAUGCCGCGUGAAGGAAGACGGCCUUAUGGGUUGUAAACUUCUUUUAUACAGGAAGAAACCUUUCCACGUGUGGAAAGUUGACGGUACUGUAAGAAUAAGGAUCGGCCAACUCCGUGCCAGCAGCCGCGGUAAUACGAAGGGACCUAGCGUAGUUCGGAAUUACUGGGCUUAAAGAGUUCGUAGGUGGUUAAAAAAGUUGGUGGUGAAAUCCCAGAGCUUAACUCUGGAACUGCCAUCAAAACUUUUUAGCUAAAGUAUGAUAGAGGAAAGCAGAAUUUCUAGUGUAGAGGUGAAAUUCGUAGAUAUUAGAAAGAAUACCAAUUGCGAAGGCAGCUUUCUGGAUCAUUACUGACACUGAGGAACGAAAGCAUGGGUAGCGAAGAGGAUUAGAUACCCUCGUAGUCCAUGCCGUAAACGAUGUGUGUUAGACGUUGGAAAUUUAUUUUCUGUGUCGCAGCGAAAGCAAUAAACACACCGCCUGGGGAGUACGACCGCAAGGUUAAAACUCAAAUGAAUUGACGGGGACCCGCACAAGUAGUGGAGCAUGUGGUUUAAUUCGAAGAUACGCGCAGAACCUUACCAACACUUGACAUGUUCGUCGCGACUUUAAGAGAUUAAAGUUUUCGGUUCGGCCGGACGAAACACAGGUGCUGCAUGGCUGUCGUCAGCUCGUGUCGUGAGAUGUUGGGUUAAGUCCCGCAACGAGCGCAACCCUCACUUUUAGUUGCCAUCAUUUAGUUGGGCACUCUGAAAGAACUGCCAGUGAUAAGCUGGAGGAAGGUGGGGAUGACGUCAAGUCCUCAUGGCCCUUACGUGUUGGGCUACACACGUGCUACAAUGGCAUUUACAAUAGGAAGCAAGACGGCGACGUUAAGCAAAUCCUAAAAAAAUGCCUCAGUUCGGAUUGUACUCUGCAACUCGAGUACAUGAAGCUGGAAUUACUAGUAAUCGCGGAUCAGCGCGCCGCGGUGAAUACGUUCCCGGGUCUUGCACUCAC
This 1386-nucleotide ribosomal RNA is filed under the name uncultured bacterium. RNAcentral's name for it is "partial 16S ribosomal RNA". It matches the Rfam family "Bacterial small subunit ribosomal RNA". The record is from RNAcentral.